CCAAAUUCUAACACAGUUUGUCCAUCACUAGCCUCACUUGGGGUUUAGGACACUAGAAAGAAACGAAUUGUAGUAGCACAUGAAGUUGCAAAACUCGGCAGUUAUUUCAACUUGGAAGAAAGCCUGACUUCUUUGCAUAAAGAACCUAACUCACCUGAAGUUAUUGCUAGUGCUAGAAUAGGUUGGUCUAAAUUUAUCAAACAUAGGAUUCUGGCAAGCAAUAGAAACUCAAGUUUGUGUUAGGGAGCAGGGUAAAGGCGCCCUCGAUGAUGUCGCUGGGACAUCUACCGAUAGGAUCUACUUCAGCAACUCUUCUCCCAGUGGCUGCAAAACUCGGCCAUUACUUCUUACAUGUAAGAUGUAUUAUAGCUUCAACUAACAUUUUCUAAUGCCCUAAUUACAUAGAAAAAUGUUACUUAAAAUUGGUUUAUAUGAUUUGCAAAGUACUUUUCAGGCGGUGAGGUUUCCAGGCUUGAUGAUGUUUCCAAUUUUGGAAUGCUUCUACUGGAGUUAUUUACAGGCAAAAGAGAAGAAAGAACGUUGAAUCAAAGAAUUAAUUUUGCUGACGAAAAUAGGACUUUCUUGUACACUGUCAUUGUCGAGGAAUUGGAUGACAAUAAACACAAAUUGCAAGCAAUCAGAUACUUAUUUUAUAGAAUUAUGAAUAGAACACCAAGUAUAAGAUGAGUUUAUUACACAUGAAUGGGGAAAACGUUAUGCUCUACGAAGUGGAAUUUAGCCUCUGCAGACUGAAGUUGUUGUAGACUACGCUAGCGAAUUGGUGAUUCAGGAUUGAAGAGUCACAUUUAUAUACUUCAACUGAAGCCAUGAAGGGAAGGUUUUUACCAUUGUAAUACCUACUCUGCAAAGUAG
RNAcentral lists this long non-coding RNA (873 nucleotides) under Olea europaea subsp. europaea. Lineage: Eukaryota; Viridiplantae; Streptophyta; Magnoliopsida; Lamiales; Oleaceae. The record is from RNAcentral.